ACGGAAGGCAGCAGUGGGGAAUAUUGCACAAUGGAGGAAACUCUGAUGCAGCGAUGCCGCGUGAGGGAAGAAGGUUCUCGGAUUGUAAACCUCUGUCAUCAGGGACGAUAAUGACGGUACCUGAGAAGGAAGCUCCUGCUAACUACGUGCCAGCAGCCGCGGUAAUACGUAGGGAGCGAGCGUUGUCCGGAAUUACUGGGUGUAAAGGGAGUGCAGGCGGGAUUUUAAGUCAGGUGUGAAAACUACGGGCUCAACCUGUAGACUGCACUUGAAACUGAGAUUCUUGAGUGAAGUAGAGGUAGGCGGAAUUCCUAGUGUAGCGGUGAAAUGCGUAGAUAUUAGGAGGAACAUCAGUGGCGAAGGCGGCCUACUGGGCUUUUACUGACGCUCAUGCUCGAAAGCGUGGGGAGCAAACAGGAUUAGAUACCCUGGUA
This 434-nucleotide ribosomal RNA is filed under the name uncultured Oscillospiraceae bacterium. Its description in RNAcentral is "partial 16S ribosomal RNA". It matches the Rfam family "Bacterial small subunit ribosomal RNA", at positions 341 to 792 of the family's 1533-position model. Lineage: Bacteria; Bacillati; Bacillota; Clostridia; Eubacteriales; Oscillospiraceae. The record is from RNAcentral.